RNAcentral lists this ribosomal RNA (323 nucleotides) under uncultured eukaryote. Its description in RNAcentral is "partial 18S ribosomal RNA". It matches the Rfam family "Eukaryotic small subunit ribosomal RNA", at positions 1470 to 1796 of the family's 1831-position model. The record is from RNAcentral.
CCCUUAGAUGUUCUGGGCCGCACGCGCGCUACACUGAUACAUGCAACGAGUUUAUAACCUUGAUCUGACGGUCUGGGUAAUCUUCAAACUGUAUCGUGUUAGGGAUCGAUUCUUGCAAUUUUUAAUCGUAAACGAGGAAUUCCUAGUAAACGCAAGUCAUCAGCUUGCAUUGAUUACGUCCCUGCCCUUUGUACACACCGCCCGUCGACUCUACCGAUUGAAUGGUUCGGUGAAAACUUUGGACUGUGGCAUUGUCCUUCAUUGGACCUCGCCGUAGGAAAUUGUUUAAACCUCAUCAUUUAGAGGAAGAAUAAGUCGUAACA